This 695-nucleotide ribosomal RNA is filed under the name Bathylaimus sp. NUS11. Its description in RNAcentral is "eukaryotic LSU rRNA". It matches the Rfam family "Eukaryotic large subunit ribosomal RNA", at positions 396 to 911 of the family's 3401-position model. Lineage: Eukaryota; Metazoa; Nematoda; Enoplea; Enoplida; Tripyloididae. The record is from RNAcentral.
GGCGUGAAACCGAGCAGAAGUAACUUGGUGGACGAGAAAAGUCGCUGAUGGGAUUCAGCCGUUGACCUGAUGCGCAGCGUGCCGUCGACCGAUGGCUGCUGCAUGCUAUUGCGUUAGGUCUUCGGUGCACUUCCCGUUAGCGCGCGCAGGGAUCGAUUGACACGUCGACAAAGUUGUUCAGGGAGUGGCCCAUCCGCAAGGUUGGUAGCCGACCUGUUCAGACCGAUCGAUUGUGACAAUCGAGAUUCGAUCUGCCCGCAUUGUUUCUUGCCUGGCGUCAUGAGUGGCUGCCGUUGGUUUUUUACUGUAACAGGUAGAACUCCAUUGGUACGUUGCUUACGAUGUUAGGAUGUAGAGACGGCAGAAAGGAUCGCUUGCGUCUGUGUCUCACACCCACCUAUAUCGUCUUGAAACACGAGCCGAGAAGUCUAACAGAUGCGCAAGUCAAUGAGUUUCAUAAAACUCAAAGGCGAAAUGAAAGUAAAGUCGAGGCCUUGUGCCCGGCGAGCUGAGAUCCGUACCCUCGGGUGCGGCGCAUCAGCGUCCCGUCUCGUGAACCUUUGGAUUCUGAGGCGGAGAUAGAGCGUAUCUGUUGGGACCCGAAAGAUGGUGAACUAUGCCUGUGUAGGAUGAAGCCAGAAGAAAUUCUGGUGGAAGUCCGUAGCGUUUUUGACGUGCAAAUCAAUCGUCAAACA